UUUCUCUCCUUUCAGUCAUAAAACUAAAUUUCACACAAAACAUAUAUUUUCAUUCUAACUUGUCUUGGAAGCAUAACUGCAAUCACCACAUUUCCGCUGAGUGGAACAUAAAAAUCAAUGAAAAUUUCAUCAUUUUCCAUGGCUAGUGUAUUAGUGGCAUUUUUUUCCACUUAGUUACCUUUUUAAUAUUUCAGCAUGAGAAGGCAAAAGAACAAUACUUCCAACUUUUGAUGGGCAUAAUUUUAUUUUCAAUUAUUAUCUGCAUUAAGAAUCAGAAGCCAACAUGAUCUCUAAUUUUCUGUGUUUUUCUUUGUAUGAUUUGAUACAGGGUUUGCAAGAACUCCGUUCAG
This 350-nucleotide unclassified non-coding RNA is filed under the name Hevea brasiliensis (rubber tree). The record is from RNAcentral. Lineage: Eukaryota; Viridiplantae; Streptophyta; Magnoliopsida; Malpighiales; Euphorbiaceae.